GAUGUUCUGGAAUAGAUAUUUUCUCCUCUCCAUUGCAGAUAUUUAUUAACCAGACCUUUGCUGAGCAGUCUGACAGUGGCACUGUGGUAUCCAUAUCCUUACCGGUUGCCCUGGAGACCUUCUUCCCCCAGAGCAAAAGAAGUCGUGUUCAGUUUCAUUUCUAUGGCAUAGAAAAUCUAUUCCAGGACCAUAAUAGUAGCCUGGUGCUGAAUUCCUACGUGGUUUCUGCCAGUGUGACCAAUGCUAGUGUGAUUGACCUGAGGGACCCAGUUGUAAUCACUCUCCUUCAUCUUCAGCACAAAGAGGUCUGUAACAACAUUUAAUCUCUCAUUGAAAGUGUAAUGUACCAUUGAUCUUUUCCUGCAGUUGUCAUAUGUGAUAUUUCCCCAGUGUUGUCCUUAAAUUCGUUUUAGUCACAAAUCUACACUUCCUUUCUUAUAGGACCAUGACACGGUCCAGUGUGUCUACUGGAACUUAGAGAGGAAUGACGGAAAAGGUGGUUGGGAUGGUAAUGGAUGCCAGGUUAAAUAUAGCAACGCCACUCAUACAUCUUGCCUCUGUUUUCACCUCACACAUUUUGGAGUGCUGCUGGAUAUAUCCAAAACACCAAUAAACCCCAAAGAUGACAUGAUUCUCACAAUUAUUACAUACCUGGGCUGUGGCUUGUCCUCCCUCUUUCUAGGCGUCACCUUGCUGACUUAUAUGGCCUUUGAAAAGCUGCGGCGGGAUUACCCAUCUAAGAUUCUUAUCAACCUCGCAGGGGCCUUGCUGGGUCUCAACAUGCUCUUUCUGAUUAAUUCUUGGCUUGCUUCAUUUAACAACUAUGGCCUCUGUAUCGCUACGGCUGCCAUUCUUCACUACUUCUUCCUGGCCACAUUUACUUGGAUGGGAUUAGAGGCGAUCAACAUGUACCUGGCUUUUGUGAAAGUCUUUAAUGUCUAUGUUUCCUCCUACAUCCUUAAAUUUUGUAUUCUUGGAUGGGGUGAGACUUUUUAAGGAUAUACUUGUAUAGUUUCCUUAUCAAAUGAAUUGAAUGAAAGCAAAGUCGAAUUUAGUGGAGGAUAGAAUCACAUUAUAUGUAUUUGAGACAUGUCACAAAAUAUGCAGCGGGUGUUGAAAACAUAGCCAAGUACACAGCCUGUGUUUUGUGUUGCUAGUGCUCUAAAAUCUCUGAUUCAAAUAAUUAUUAAGCCUCAAUACUGAAUAUAAUACUGAAGAACAGGGCUGACUUUUCCACAUGUCAUUGGACCCACUAGGUUUUGUGUGAUGGCAGAGCUGUUGGGAAGACACAAAGCAGCUUAACUCUGGCACUAGACGUUUACAUGGACAACAAUAUUCCGAUAUUAACCCGAUUAAGACGAUACUCUGACUAAGUAUCUAAGAUGUAAACAGUGAUUAUUGAUGACCUUAAUCCGACUGAAAUCAUACUCGAAGUAAACACAAAUCGAAUUAAGACAUGUGGAGUAUUCCUGUUUUACUCGCAUUAUCGAAGUGCAUUACAGACAUGUACACACCUUAAUCACACUAUUAACGUCGUGUGGGAAUUUUCACCGCAUUUUGCCACAAGACACACACACACACACACACACAUACACACGGCAGUGCUCAAUAGUUUGACGGCAAGCAAGAGAGCACGGCUGAGUCAGAAACCGUGUACUUACCUUCUGUAUAGAAGGUGAAAUACAUGUAUCUCAGCUACUAUAUAGCAGGUAAGUACACGGUUUCGGAUGCAGCCCACGG
Ictalurus furcatus (blue catfish) is the source of this 1740-nucleotide long non-coding RNA. RefSeq lists it as uncharacterized. NCBI's taxonomy places the organism in Eukaryota, Metazoa, Chordata, Actinopteri, Siluriformes, Ictaluridae. The transcript is spliced from 5 exons. The record is from RefSeq and is a predicted model, not a curated record.